RNAcentral lists this ribosomal RNA (428 nucleotides) under Helicobacter pylori. RNAcentral describes it as "bacterial SSU rRNA". It matches the Rfam family "Bacterial small subunit ribosomal RNA", at positions 988 to 1410 of the family's 1533-position model. The record is from RNAcentral. Lineage: Bacteria; Pseudomonadati; Campylobacterota; Epsilonproteobacteria; Campylobacterales; Helicobacteraceae.
UUGAGAGAAAUUCGCUAGAAAUAGUGGAGUGUCUGGCUUGCUAGACCUUGAAAACAGGUGCUGCACGGCUGUCGUCAGCUCGUGUCGUGAGAUGUUGGGUUAAGUCCCGCAACGAGCGCAACCCCCUUUCUUAGUUGCUAACAGGUCAUGCUGAGAACUCUAAGGAUACUGCCUCCGUAAGGAGGAGGAAGGUGGGGACGACGUCAAGUCAUCAUGGCCCUUACGCCUAGGGCUACACACGUGCUACAAUGGGGUGCACAAAGAGAAGCAAUACUGCGAAGUGGAGCCAAUCUUCAAAACACCUCUCAGUUCGGAUUGUAGGCUGCAACUCGCCUGCAUGAAGCUGGAAUCGCUAGUAAUCGCAAAUCAGCCAUGUUGCGGUGAAUACGUUCCCGGGUCUUGUACUCACCGCCCUCACAUCCAUGAUG